RNAcentral lists this ribosomal RNA (465 nucleotides) under uncultured Macrococcus sp. RNAcentral's name for it is "bacterial SSU rRNA". It matches the Rfam family "Bacterial small subunit ribosomal RNA", at positions 338 to 795 of the family's 1533-position model. The record is from RNAcentral. Lineage: Bacteria; Bacillati; Bacillota; Bacilli; Caryophanales; Staphylococcaceae.
CCUACGGGUGGCUGCAGUAGGGAAUCUUCCGCAAUGGACGAAAGUCUGACGGAGCAACGCCGCGUGAGUGAAGAAGGUUUUCGGAUCGUAAAACUCUGUUGUAAGGGAAGAACAAGUACGUUAGUAACUGAACGUACCUUGACGGUACCUUACCAGAAAGCCACGGCUAACUACGUGCCAGCAGCCGCGGUAAUACGUAGGUGGCAAGCGUUAUCCGGAAGUAUUGGGCGUAAAGCGCGCGUAGGCGGUAUCGUAAGUACUAUGUGAAAGGCCGCGGAUCAACCGGGGAGAGUGAUUGGAAACGUGGAGAAUUGAGUGCAGAAGAGGAGAGUGGAAUUCCAUGUGUAGCGGUGAAAUGCGCAGAGAUAUGGAGGAACACCAGUGGCGAAGGCGGCUCUCUGGUCUGUAACGGACGCUGAGGUGAGAAAGCGUGGGGAUCAAACAGGAUUCGAUACCCUUGUAGUC